Molecule: non-coding RNA, 145 nt
Organism: Gossypium hirsutum (cotton)
Lineage: Eukaryota; Viridiplantae; Streptophyta; Magnoliopsida; Malvales; Malvaceae
Source: Rfam
UAUUAAAAAUUUCAUCUAUUUAUACUGUUAAAAAUUAACGUGGCUGGCAAAAUCACCAAACCGGUACAAGUGACGUGUUAUGUGUACCUCAUACUGACGUAUAAGGACUAAUUUUUAACAGUCAAAAUAAAUGAAAUUUUGAACA